UACGUAGGGUGCAAGCGUUGUCCGGAAUUAUUGGGCGUAAAGAGCUCGUAGGCGGUCUGUCGCGUCGGAUGUGAAAAUCCAGGGCUCAACCCUGGACCUGCAUUCGAUACGGGCAGACUAGAGUUCGGUAGGGGAGACUGGAAUUCAUGGUGUAGCAGUGAAAUGCGUAGAGAUGUGGAGGAACACCAGUGGCGAAGGCGGCUCUCUGGUCUGUAACUGACGCUGAGGCGCGAAAGCGUGGGGAGCGAACAGG
Molecule: ribosomal RNA, 253 nt
Filed under: uncultured bacterium
Lineage: Bacteria
Description: partial 16S ribosomal RNA
Rfam family: Bacterial small subunit ribosomal RNA
Source: RNAcentral